RNAcentral lists this non-coding RNA (143 nucleotides) under Candidatus Omnitrophota. Its description in RNAcentral is "Candidatus Omnitrophica FMN sequence". It matches the Rfam family "FMN riboswitch aptamer (RFN element)". Rfam says of the family: The RFN element is a highly conserved domain that is found frequently in the 5'-untranslated regions of prokaryotic mRNAs that encode for flavin mononucleotide (FMN) biosynthesis and transport proteins. This element is a metabolite-dependent riboswitch that directly binds FMN in the absence of proteins. In Bacillus subtilis, the riboswitch most likely controls gene expression by causing premature transcription termination within the 5' untranslated region of the ribDEAHT operon and precluding access to the ribosome-binding site of ypaA mRNA. Lineage: Bacteria; Pseudomonadati. The record is from RNAcentral.
GAACCUUUUCGGGGUCGGGUGCAAUUCCCAACCGGUGGUAAAGCCCACCAGCCCCCUCUUCUUGCUUUCGCAAGAAAGCAGAGGGGGUAGAUCUGGUGUAAUUCCAGAGCCGACAGUAAAAGUCUGGAUGAAAGAAAAGGAAG